This 162-nucleotide non-coding RNA is filed under the name bovine gut metagenome. Its description in RNAcentral is "Lysine riboswitch". It matches the Rfam family "Lysine riboswitch aptamer". Rfam says of the family: Riboswitches are metabolite binding domains within certain messenger RNAs that serve as precision sensors for their corresponding targets. Allosteric rearrangement of mRNA structure is mediated by ligand binding, and this results in modulation of gene expression. The record is from RNAcentral.
GUAUAGAGGUGCGGUGUUUAUUAGUAACCAUUUUCUUAUGUACAGCAAUACAGAAAAUGAUGAAAGGGACCACCGCCGAAAAGGGUAUUUUUUGCUGAAAAUAUCCUUUGGGACGGCACAAAAUAUGUGUCGUACUGUCACCGAAUGGUGGAGUGCUAUCGC